This 73-nucleotide transfer RNA is filed under the name Metschnikowia bicuspidata var. bicuspidata NRRL YB-4993. It matches the Rfam family "tRNA". Rfam says of the family: Transfer RNA (tRNA) molecules are approximately 80 nucleotides in length. Their secondary structure includes four short double-helical elements and three loops (D, anti-codon, and T loops). Lineage: Eukaryota; Fungi; Ascomycota; Pichiomycetes; Serinales; Metschnikowiaceae. The record is from Rfam by way of RNAcentral.
GGGCGUGUGGCGCAGUUGGUAGCGCGUUCGCUUCGCAUGCGAAAGGUCUCGGGUUCGACUCCUGACUCGUCCA